This is an RNA transcript of Odontomachus brunneus, 3144 nucleotides long. It is a transcript of the gene named ATP-binding cassette sub-family G member 4-like, with no coding region annotated. The transcript has 4 exons. The record is from RefSeq and is a predicted model, not a curated record. Lineage: Eukaryota; Metazoa; Arthropoda; Insecta; Hymenoptera; Formicidae.
UGCUUUCUUUCUACGGAGUGAAAUUUCUUCAGACAAUUAGGGAUUACAAUCGAGAUACCCAUUCCAAUAAGGAAUACCUGCACGAAAGUAGCAAAUCGUGGGUAGAAAUUCGUGCAUGUGAAAACAGUUCUUGCACGUGUCAACUAACGAAAAAUCAAGAUUGAAAUUUGUAGUGAUCUCUUUUUAUGCUACGAAGAUAACGAAAAUAUUCGGGGCGACUUAGAGUCAAAUAAACCGUAAAAUCUGGCACAAUGGAGCGCAAACUCUACCUCACCAACAUAACAUGCAAUCAGAAGAUCGACGUCAAGUUCUUGGAUCUAUCGUACGCAGUCCGCACUAGAUAUUGCGGAUCGAAGAAGCAGAUCCUCAAAGGUCUAAACGGAAUUUUUCGAUCCGCCGAGCUGACGGCCAUUAUGGGGCCGUCGGGUGCCGGCAAGACAAUGUUGCUGAGCAUCUUGAGUGGCUUCCAGGAAGGCUUGUACACGGGGACGGUGGAGUACCUCAAACAAGGUAACAAGCAGAAUCGGUACAGUUGCAAAAAACAGCUGUGCUACAUUCAGCAGACAAACCAUCUGCAUGACUACUUCACCAUCAACGAGGUCAUGAUGAUUGCGAGUUAUCUGAAGAUUGAUCGGAGAAUUUCGCGUAAGUCAAGGCAGAUGCUGAUCAACGAUAUAUUGAGCACACUUAUGUUAUUGCACAUCAAAGAGACCCGAACUGACCGGCUGAGCGGUGGUGAGAAGAAAAGACUGAGCAUCGCCUUGGAGAUGAUUGAUAAUCCAUCGCUCAUGUUCUUAGACGAACCGACUACUGGUCUGGAUUCUUCGGCGUCUGUGCAGUGCUUAACCGCGUUGAAGAAACUGGCGCAAACCGGCAGGACGAUUAUCUGCACCAUACAUCAACCCAGCACAACGCUUUAUGAGAUGUUCGAUCACAUCUAUCUGGUAGUGGACGGUCACUGCAUGUAUCGCUCGCCACCAGGCGAUACGGUCAACUACUUUGCUCGGCAAGGUCUUCAGUGUCCAAAAUAUCACAACCCUGCGGACUACAUGCUGGAAGUGGUGUCAAAGGAGUAUGGUAAUUACGACGAACAGUUGAUCGCGGCAAGCAAGUGGCCUGAGUCGAAUGACGAGAUAUGUUCGUCGAAGUUAUCAUGCAACAUGACCCGACAGAAGAUAUCCAACAACAAUCAGAUGAUAACAUUGACGUGCCCGCCAACAGAACUGAUGCGAUUCUGGGUUUUGCUGCAGCGCUACAUGAUGUUAACAUAUCGUAUGCGCAAGACGGUGUAUAUCCAACUGAGCGGUCACUUAUUCGUAUCGGUGCUGGCCGGUCUUAUUUAUAAACACACCGGCAAUGAUGCCAACAAAAUAUUUGGCAACCUCUGCUAUUUGUUGGUGAGCACGUUAUACCCAUGUUUCUUCGGAUUGAUGUCGGCCGUGAUCAAGUUUCCCUUAGAGAUUGUCAUUCUGCGGAAGGAGCACUUCAACAAUUGGUACCAGUUGAGAACUUGUUAUAUAGCCAUAUUGGUGAGCACAAUACCGUUGCAGACGAUCUACGGCUUCCUGGGCUCGUCCAUCACCUACUACAUGACCAGUCAACCGCCUGAAUUCUCUCGCUUCUUCAUGUAUCUGCUCAUCAAUAUCUUAUCUUUCUUCAUUUCCGAAAGCCUGGGCUUAGGAUUGGGCGCGACUUUCGAACCUGUCAAUGGAUUCUUCGUCGGAUCUAUCAUCGUGUGCGCCAUGUUCUCUCUCGCCGGUCUUAUAGUCUUCUUCAAGGAUAUGACCAGUUUCAUGUACUACAUCAGUUACCUGAGCAUGCUACGAUACGCCUUCGACGGUGCGGUUCAAUCCGUCUACGGCAAUGGCCGUGAGAAUUUACAAUGCUCAGAUAUUUAUUGCCAUUUUCGAGCGCCGAGUACGAUACUGGAAAUGCUCGACAUGACUAAAUCAUCAUUUUGAUUAUCGAACAUCGAACAGCUGUAAAUCUUGAGCAGUGCCACAAUAAUGUAAGCAACAAUAUGAGGUUUCCCGCCAGCAACUCGGUGCACGCGAUUAAAAUUAUCCUCGCAAUCAUCUGAAUUAAAAUUUGAUCUUAUUUUCAGCCUUAUUAUUCCAUUCAACACAUAUUUUGAUACUUUGAAACCUAUACGUCAACCUCUUUUGAUUCUAGUUAACCUAUCCGAGUUGAAAUGUUCCUACUUUUAGCCUGCCUAUUCUAUUUAACACUUUUUUGACGUAGGAGAAAAUAAAAAGGGAAAUUUCACACAUCAUGUGAGUAGGAGUAAAUUAUAUCAUUAUAAUUAAGGAAAUAUUCUAAUGUGACGGGUAAAAAACUGACUUUUUGCGACUUAUUAUAGCUUGAGGCCUUGAAAAUAUGUCCCUAAUAUACCAAGAUGAAAAUCGUUAAAUUGAUCGAGUUAUAAAUGUUUAAAGGACACAUCCUCCAUACGGCGCGCCAACUGAGAUGAAUGACAAAGUGUUAAAUGUUAUUCAACCAAUUUACGAAGAUUUAACUAUCGGUGGUUUAUUACAGCAAUGUCUCGAAUAAUUUACUCAGGAUAAUAACGAAAGUUUAAAUUCAUUAAUUUGGACAAUUGCACCAAAACAUCUGUAUUGCGGAAAGAAGAUGAUGGAUGCUGCAGAGACAACGAGCACAUUAAACGUUUUGAGCAGCGAGCGUCGUAUGAGUCGAAAGGAACAAGAAUUGCUAAGAGACAAAAGAAGAUUAACAAACAUGGGUUCUUUGAAGUUGAGGAAGAUCUUUUGUAUGGUCAUGGUAUAGCUAAUUAAAAAUAACGAGGACGGUGGCAAUCAACUCUCCCGAUGGAAGAUAUUUUGCGGUGUGACCAGUUUCGUCUACUAGUAUUUCUUCAAUUUUGAAUAAAAAGCUUUGACAAAAUAUGAGAUAUUUCUUCAAAGAUAAAGAAAUGUCAAUACGAACCAUUAACUUUGUAGGUUUAACCAUUUGCUUGAAAUUAAUUCCCAAAUAUUGCCUUGAAACCGGGUGAAGAAAAGUGCUGAUGAAAGUCAACGAAUGCUAUUGGAAGUUUAUGAUAAUUAUAUUUCACCGAUUUCAACAUGUGAGUACUGGUUUCGACGCUAUAAAAAAGGUGAUUUUGACACGGAAGACAAGGAACGUCCA